ACUUUGUAAACUUUUUAGUACCUGCUAGGGUUGUUUAUGCCUAUAUUUCUUGGACUCGGGUAUGAGUGUCCGACAUGGGUGUGUUCAAGGUUUUUUUUCAAGAUUUUCAUGUAUUUGAAGGGUCCUUUGAGGAUCAUAUCUCCAGAUCUAUUCCCGGAUAUGAAUCGGACGCAGAUGUCAAACACAGGUACUUCAAGAAAAAUGAAGAGUUGGAGCAACAUAGGUUUAUUCACCACUCUUUGUAGGUUUUGAUUUAAACAUAUACUCUUUGUGACUAUCACUUGGUAGGAGGUAGGUACCGGGGGGAUACUUUGCAUGAACUGUCAAACAAAAUGUUCUAUUUUCACAUUUUCCCCCUGUUUUUCUUAGCAAUAUAUCGCGAGUCUACCAAAAUGCUACAGAGAUUUUGGCUGCUAUUAAUGUAAUUUCAGGUGGUAGGAACUGAUGAGUUGAAUGUAUAUCUGAAUAAAUAUCAUUUAGAGCUUGAUCCUCAACUUGAGGCUCUUGUUGGAAGGCACAUUCGAAAACACUGGUCCAAAUUCAUUAAUGCGAAUAAUCAGCAUCUUGUCUCGCCAGAGGCAAUCAAUUUUCUAGAUAAGUUGCUUCGAUAUGAUCAUCAGGAAAGACCAACUGCAAAAGAAGCUAUGGCCCAUCCUUACUUUUCUCAAGUGAGGACAACUGAGAGUUGCAGGAUGCGUACUCAGUAGCCCAUUCACUUUGGGUCUAUUUGUACAUCAGUGGAGCCCGGACUCGGCUGGAUGACUGACCGUGCUU
Long non-coding RNA from Hibiscus syriacus, 774 nucleotides. RefSeq lists it as uncharacterized. Lineage: Eukaryota; Viridiplantae; Streptophyta; Magnoliopsida; Malvales; Malvaceae. The transcript is spliced from 4 exons. The record is from RefSeq and is a predicted model, not a curated record.